This 718-nucleotide ribosomal RNA is filed under the name uncultured bacterium. RNAcentral's name for it is "bacterial SSU rRNA". It matches the Rfam family "Bacterial small subunit ribosomal RNA", at positions 809 to 1524 of the family's 1533-position model. The record is from RNAcentral.
AUGAAUGUUAAAUAUGGGAAGUUCUACUUUGUGUAUUACAGCUAACGCGUUAAACAUUCCGCCUGGGGACUACGGUCGCCAGAUUAAAACUCAAUGGAAUUGACGGGGACCCGCACACGCGGUGGAGCAUGUGGUUUAAUUAGAUGCAACGAGAAAAACCUUCCCACUCCUUUACAUGGAAAUUAUACAUAUUGGAAGGGAUCGGGUCGGCUCGUCCGGGUUUCACACAGGUGUUGCAUGGCUGUCGUCAGCUCGUGUCGUGAGAUGUUGGGUUAAGUCCCGCAACGAGCGCAACCCUCAUCCUUAGUUACCAUCAGGUAAUGCUGGGGACUUUAAGGAAACUGCCAGUGAUAAACUGGAGGAAGGUGGGGAUGAUGUCAAGUCAUCAUGGCCCUUAUGGAGUGGGCUACACACGUGCUACAAUGGUGGCUACAAUGGGAUGCAACGUCGCGAGGGUAAGCUAAUCCCUUAAAAGCCAUCUCAGUUCGGAUUGUACUCUGCAACUCGAGUGCAUGAAGUUGGAAUCGCUAGUAAUCGUGGAUCAGCACGCCACGGUGAAUACGUUCCCGGGUCCUUGUACACACUGCCCGUCACGCCAUGGGAAUUGGUUUCACUAGAAGCUAACGACCUAACCGCAAGGAGGGAGUUAUCCAAAGUGGGAUUGGUGACUGGGGAGAAGUCGUAACAAGGUAGCAGUAGGGGAAUCUGCGGCUGGAUC